AUGCAGCGACGCCGCGUGAGGGAUGACGGCCUUCGGGUUGUAAACCUCUUUCAGUAGGGAAGAAGCGUAAGUGACGGUACCUGCAGAAGAAGCGCCGGCUAACUACGUGCCAGCAGCCGCGGUAAUACGUAGGGCGCAAGCGUUAUCCGGAAUUAUUGGGCGUAAAGAGCUCGUAGGCGGUUUGUCGCGUCUGCCGUGAAAGUCCGGGGCUCAACUCCGGAUCUGCGGUGGGUACGGGCAGACUAGAGUGAUGUAGGGGAGACUGGAAUUCCUGGUGUAGCGGUGAAAUGCGCAGAUAUCAGGAGGAACACCGAUGGCGAAGGCAGGUCUCUGGGCAUUAACUGACGCUGAGGAGCGAAAGCAUGGGGAGCGAACAGGAUUAGAUACCCUGG
This 392-nucleotide ribosomal RNA is filed under the name Arthrobacter sp. DN18. RNAcentral describes it as "bacterial SSU rRNA". It matches the Rfam family "Bacterial small subunit ribosomal RNA", at positions 386 to 790 of the family's 1533-position model. The record is from RNAcentral. Lineage: Bacteria; Bacillati; Actinomycetota; Actinomycetes; Micrococcales; Micrococcaceae.